UACGUAGGGUGCAAGCGUUGUCCGGAAUUAUUGGGCGUAAAGAGCUGUAGCGGUUUGUCGCGUCUGCGUGAGCGAUUCGGACUCCAGCCGACUGCGUGGGUACGGGCAGACUAGAGUGUGGUAGGGGAGACUGGAAUUCCGUGGUGUAGCGGUGAAAUGCGCAGAUAUCAGGAGGAACACCGAUGGCGAAGGCAGGUCUCCUGGGCAUUAACUGACGCUGAGGAGCGAAAGCAUGGGGAGCGAACAGG
Molecule: ribosomal RNA, 248 nt
Filed under: uncultured bacterium
Lineage: Bacteria
Description: partial 16S ribosomal RNA
Rfam family: Bacterial small subunit ribosomal RNA
Source: RNAcentral